Acinonyx jubatus (cheetah) is the source of this 1799-nucleotide long non-coding RNA. RefSeq lists it as uncharacterized. The record is from RefSeq and is a predicted model, not a curated record. NCBI's taxonomy places the organism in Eukaryota, Metazoa, Chordata, Mammalia, Carnivora, Felidae. The transcript is spliced from 3 exons.
CCAAGCAGGCUUUGUGAUCCCAGCACAGAGCCCAGUGUGGGACUGGACCUCAAGAACCAUGAGAUCAUGACCUGAGCCAACAACAAGAUUCAGGUGCUUAACUGACUGAGCUACCCAGGCACCCCAGAAAGGACUUUAUAAAAGUAUUUUAACUUUCAAUUAUUCUUCCGUCCAUAAGAACAUACAUGCUGACAAUAAAGAUUUACAGAGUAGCUACUAUAUGUAAUGCUAUAUCUGAUUCCAACUUUAGCUGUCUAUUGCUCAUUCCAUCUAAUUAUGACAAAAUUUAGACUCAAAAAAUUUAAGGGACUUGCCCAAAUUCCCACAAUUAGGCAGGGGCAGAACAAGGUCCAUAACACAAAAUUAUCAAAUCUUGCUUUCCCCAGCAUACUCUGUUCCUUUCCCAAGAGAAUAAAGUAGACAGAUACAGUUCACAGGUAAUUUCAAUAACAAGGUUUUCUUUCUUGUUUCUUAGGUCAUUUCAUCAGUGGACACUCCUUUCACGUAGGGCAAGCACAGUGCUGUUGGUGUUGAGGAACACAAAGAUUGAAAAAGAAACAAAAUGGGGUGCCUGGGUGCCUCAGUCAGUUAAGCUUCCGACUUAGGCUCAGGUCGCGACCUCAUAGCUUAGAGAAGUUUGAGGUGCAGAGAAGUUGAAUGGGUGUCUAAGGCUCCCAAACCCCAUGAUGUUGCCAAAAGACAACUAAGAAAUUAGGAAAACUUCUGGCUUCCUUCAGUGGACUGAGAAUUUCCAUGACUUCCAACACAUGUCACAAUAAGCCUGUGGGAAAAUACCAAGGGAAGGCCACGCUGUGGAACUCUGACAGUUCCUGACUCUAUAAAUUGGCCUACACAUUUUGGUAAGUACUAAGGUAUCACCCUCAGCCUUGGCAAAGAUGCCAUAGUAAUUUCUGCUUCGCAGUUGCUCCCUGCAAUCAGGAACACUGAUAUGCCAUCAUAGAUAAGAGAAUGGUUACAUUUAUUAUCUAUGUUCUAGAACCAGAUGAUUAACUUUCUUUUAGAUUUAUCUUCAUUGUGGUUUUCCUGAGAACAUAAUUAUGAUUUUGUGUUCCGCACGGCAGAUGGUGAGCAACAUAGCCGACUGCAAGCUCCUGGAAUGUAGAGCUCUGUGUAACUCAUCUCUGAUGCCUGGUCUCAUCUAUGUACCUGACCUGGCAUCUGGCCAUGGUGGAUGCACAGUAUCUGAAGAUAGUUGCAGUCAAAGAAAGUUGCUAUGGCCUGGAUGUUUGUGUCUGCCCCUCCCCCCAAAUUUAUCUGUUGAAAUCCUAACUCCCAAAGAUGAUGGUAUUAGGAGGUGAGGACUUUGGGAGGUGCUUAAGUCAUGAGGGUGGGGCCCGUGAUGGGAUUAGUGCCCUUAUAAUAAUAAAAGGGUCCAGAGAGAUCUGUAGCCCUCUCUAUCAAGUGAGGACACAGCAAGAAGGUAGCAGCUAUGAUGCAGGAAGGGGGCCCUUACCAGAACCUAACUAUGCUGGCACCUUAAUCUUGGACCAGCCUCCAGAACUGUGAGAAAUAAACUUCUGUUGUUCAUCCACCCAGUCUGUGGUGCUUUAUUAUAGCACCUUGAACAGACUGACAAAAAGCUUUAGACACAAGCGUGGCCCUCUCUUCAGGAGCAGUGGCUCUCUACUUAGAUUGCAUAUUAUGAUUACCUGGGAGAAUCAGAAAAAUCUGGUGCCCAGGCUGUACUCAAGACCAGUUCAAACAGAAUCUGGGAGUGUGGGUGAGGCCCAAACAUUAAUAGUAAAAAAAAAAAAAAAAAAAAAAAAGUAUUCCCCAAG